RNAcentral lists this ribosomal RNA (1208 nucleotides) under Cytospora sorbicola. RNAcentral's name for it is "partial large subunit ribosomal RNA". It matches the Rfam family "Eukaryotic large subunit ribosomal RNA", at positions 115 to 1353 of the family's 3401-position model. Lineage: Eukaryota; Fungi; Ascomycota; Sordariomycetes; Diaporthales; Cytosporaceae. The record is from RNAcentral.
UUGAAAGCUGGCUCCGGCCCGCAUUGUAAUUUGCAGAGGAUGCUUUUGGCGAGGUGCCUUCCGAGUUCCCUGGAACGGGACGCCAUAGAGGGUGAGAGCCCCGUAUGGAUGGACACCAAACCUGUGUAAAGCUCCUUCAACGAGUCGAGUAGUUUGGGAAUGCUGCUCUAAAUGGGAGGUAAAUCUCUUCUAAAGCUAAAUACCGGCCAGAGACCGAUAGCGCACAAGUAGAGUGAUCGAAAGAUGAAAAGCACCUUGAAAAGGGGGUUAAACAGUACGUGAAAUUGUUGAAAGGGAAGCAUUUAUGACCAGACUUGCGCCGGGCAGCUCAUCAGGGGUUCUCCCCUGUGCACUCUGCCCGGCUCAGGCCAGCAUCGGUUCUCGUGGGAGGAUAAGAACAGUGGGAACGUGGCCCCCCUCCGGGGGGGUGUUAUAGCCCAUUGUACGAUACUCUCGUGGGGACCGAGGUUCGCGCUCCGCAAGGAUGCUGGCGUAAUGGUCAUCAAUGACCCGUCUUGAAACACGGACCAAGGAGUCGUCCAUUAGAGCGAGCGUUUGGGUGUAAAACCCGCACGCGUAAUGAAAGUGAACGCAGGUGAGAGCUUCGGCGCAUCAUCGACCGAUCCUGAUGUCUUCGGAUGGAUUUGAGUAAGAGUUUUAACGGACGGACCCGAAAGACAGUGAACUAUGCUUGUAUAGGGUGAAGCCAGAGGAAACUCUGGUGGAGGCUCGCAGCGGUUCUGACGUGCAAAUCGAUCGUCAAAUAUGAGCAUGGGGGCGAAAGACUAAUCGAACUGUCUAGUAGCUGGUUACCGCCGAAGUUUCCCUCAGGAUAGCAGUGUUGUUCUUCAGUUUUAUGAGGUAAAGCGAAUGAUUAGGGACUCGGGGGCGCUUAUUAGCCUUCAUCCAUUCUCAAACUUUAAAUAUGUAAGAAGCCCUUGUUACUUAAUUGAACGUGGGCAUUCGAAUGUACCAACACUAGUGGGCCAUUUUUGGUAAGCAGAACUGGCGAUGCGGGAUGAACCGAACGCGGGGUUAAGGCGCCAGAGUGUACGCUCAUCAGACACCACAAAAGGCGUUAGUACAUCUUGACAGCAGGACGGUGGCCAUGGAAGUCGGAAUCCGCUAAGGACUGUGUAACAACUCACCUGCCGAAUGUACUAGCCCUGAAAAUGGAUGGCGCUCAAGCGUACCGCCCAUACCCCGCC